UCGAACUCCUUUCCUCUCUUAUCCGCAACUCUGCAAGCCUCCGAUGCCGACGGAAUUGUGGUCUCCCAAAUCACAUCGUUCCAGCUUGCUUGCUGAAACCUACUAGUUGACGCCAUUUCAACAUUAGUACACUACCAUGUUGCCUCGUUACCAAUUACAAUGAAUCGAUUAGUCUCCUUCUUCAUUGAUUUUUUUUGGGGAAAAUUACUCUCUUUUCUAUAUUUACAAAAGUAAUUGAUUUUGCUUUACUUCUCCCUCGCUGGUGGAAACUAGUGUGGUCUUUAUUUGAUUCAGGUAUUUGUGCUUAGGAGAGUGCUUUCACAAAGACAUGGCGAUUUUG
This 340-nucleotide long non-coding RNA is filed under the name Trifolium pratense (red clover). Its description in RNAcentral is "long non-coding RNA (TPRA_LNC013765)". The record is from RNAcentral. Lineage: Eukaryota; Viridiplantae; Streptophyta; Magnoliopsida; Fabales; Fabaceae.